AGAGUUUGAUCCUGGCUCAGGAUGAACGCUAGCUACAGGCUUAACACAUGCAAGUCGAGGGGAAACGAUAGAGAAAGCUUGCUUUUUCUAGGCGUCGACCGGCGCACGGGUGAGUAACGCGUAUCCAACCUGCCCAUCACUUGGGGAUAACCUUGCGAAAGUAAGACUAAUACCCAAUGAUAUCUCUAGAAGACAUCUGAAGGAGAUUAAAGAUUUAUCGGUGAUGGAUGGGGAUGCGUCUGAUUAGCUUGUUGGCGGGGUAACGGCCCACCAAGGCGACGAUCAGUAGGGGUUCUGAGAGGAAGGUCCCCCACAUUGGAACUGAGACACGGUCCAAACUCCUACGGGAGGCAGCAGUGAGGAAUAUUGGUCAAUGGGCGAGAGCCUGAACCAGCCAAGUAGCGUGCAGGAUGACGGCCCUAUGGGUUGUAAACUGCUUUUAUAAGGGAAUAAAGUGAGCCUCGUGAGGCUUUUUGCAUGUACCUUAUGAAUAAGGACCGGCUAAUUCCGUGCCAGCAGCCGCGGUAAUACGGAAGGUCCGGGCGUUAUCCGGAUUUAUUGGGUUUAAAGGGUGCGUAGGCGGGGUGGUAAGUCAGCCGUGAAAUGUCCACGCUCAACGUGGAACGUGCGUUUGAUACUGCCGUCCUAGAAUGCGGAUGCCGUGGGAGGAAUGUGUGGUGUAGCGGUGAAAUGCAUAGAUAUCACACAGAACACCGAUUGCGAAGGCAUCUCACGAAUCCGCAAUUGACGCUGAGGCACGAAAGCGCGGGUAUCGAACAGGAUUAGAUACCCUGGUAGUCCGCGCUGUAAACGAUGAUGGCUAACCGCCGGCGACACACUGUCGGUGGCCAAGCGAAAGCGAUAAGCCAUCCACCUGGGGAGUACGGCCGCAAGGCUGAAACUCAAAGGAAUUGACGGGGGCCCGCACAAGCGGUGGAGCAUGUGGUUUAAUUCGAAGCAACGCGAAGAACCUUACCAGGUCUUGACAUCGAUCUAAAAGGGAUGGAGACAUCCUCAUAGCUAUAGAGAAGACAGGUGGUGCAUGGUUGUCGUCAGCUCGUGUCGUGAGAUGUUGGGUUAAGUCCCGCAACGAGCGCAACCCCUGUCGCCAGUUACCAUCAUUGAGUUGGGGACUCUGGCGAGACUGCCUCUGCAAGGAGGAGGAAGGCGGGGAUGACGUCAAAUCAUCAUGCCCCUUAUGACCUGGGCCACACACGUGCUACAAUGGACGGGACAGAGGGAAGCGAAGGCGCGAGCCGGAGCGGACCCCAGAAACCCGUUCCCAGUUCGGACUGCAGUCUGCAACUCGACUGCACGAAGCCGGAAUCGCAAGUAAUCGCGGAUCAGCAUGCCGCGGUGAAUACGUUCUCGGGCCUUGUACACACCGCCCGUCAAG
Molecule: ribosomal RNA, 1396 nt
Filed under: uncultured bacterium
Lineage: Bacteria
Description: partial 16S ribosomal RNA
Rfam family: Bacterial small subunit ribosomal RNA
Source: RNAcentral